Molecule: ribosomal RNA, 469 nt
Filed under: uncultured Desulfobulbus sp.
Lineage: Bacteria; Pseudomonadati; Thermodesulfobacteriota; Desulfobulbia; Desulfobulbales; Desulfobulbaceae
Description: bacterial SSU rRNA
Rfam family: Bacterial small subunit ribosomal RNA
Source: RNAcentral
CCCGCACAAGCGGUGGAGUAUGUGGUUUAAUUCGAUGCAACGCGAAGAACCUUACCUGGUCUUGACAUCCCGGAGACCCUUAGGAAACUAGGGGGUGCUUCCAUCUGGAAGAAUCUGGAGACAGGUGCUGCAUGGCUGUCGUCAGCUCGUGUCGUGAGAUGUUGGGUUAAGUCCCGCAACGAGCGCAACCCUUGCCUUUAGUUGCCAGCAGUUCGGCUGGGCACUCUAAAGGGACUGCCGGUGUUAAACCGGAGGAAGGUGGGGAUGACGUCAAGUCCUCAUGGCCUUUAUGCCCAGGGCUACACACGUGCUACAAUGGCCGGCACAGACGGCAGCUUAGUGGCGACACUUGGCAAAUCCUCUAAAGCCGGUCCCAGUUCGGAUUGCAGUCUGCAACUCGACUGCAUGAAGCCGGAAUCGCUAGUAAUCGCAGAUCAGCCAAGCUGCGGUGAAUACGUUCCCGGGCCUU